Molecule: ribosomal RNA, 322 nt
Filed under: uncultured eukaryote
Lineage: Eukaryota
Description: partial 18S ribosomal RNA
Rfam family: Eukaryotic small subunit ribosomal RNA
Source: RNAcentral
CCCUUAGAUGUUCUGGGCCGCACGCGCGCUACACUGAUGCAUUCAACGAGUUUAUAACCUUGGCUGAUAGGCUUGGGUAAUCUUUUAAACGUGCAUCGUGAUGGGGAUAGAUUGUUGCAAUUAUCAAUCUUGAACGAGGAAUUCCUAGUAAACGUGUGUCAUCAGCGCACAUUGAUUACGUCCCUGCCCUUUGUACACACCGCCCGUCGCACCUACCGAUUGAAUGGUCCGGUGAAAUCUCGGGACGGCGGCUUGGUCGCUUGCGUCCGACUGCUGAAACUUGAUUAAACCAUAUCAUUUAGAGGAAGGUGAANUCGUANCA